RNAcentral lists this small RNA (28 nucleotides) under Bombyx mori (domestic silkworm). Its description in RNAcentral is "ovarian small RNA-34456". The record is from RNAcentral. Lineage: Eukaryota; Metazoa; Arthropoda; Insecta; Lepidoptera; Bombycidae.
UGGAAGAGAUUUAGUUCUUCGAGGCCGC